RNAcentral lists this ribosomal RNA (538 nucleotides) under Alternaria sp. YXM5. RNAcentral's name for it is "eukaryotic LSU rRNA". The stretch from base 208 to 361 matches the Rfam family "5.8S ribosomal RNA". Lineage: Eukaryota; Fungi; Ascomycota; Dothideomycetes; Pleosporales; Pleosporaceae. The record is from RNAcentral.
AAGAACAAGGUCUCCGUAGGUGAACCUGCGGAGGGAUCAUUACACAAAUAUGAAGGCGGGCUGGAACCUCUCGGGGUUACAGCCUUGCUGAAUUAUUCACCCUUGUCUUUUGCGUACUUCUUGUUUCCUUGGUGGGUUCGCCCACCACUAGGACAAACAUAAACCUUUUGUAAUUGCAAUCAGCGUCAGUAACAAAUUAAUAAUUACAACUUUCAACAACGGAUCUCUUGGUUCUGGCAUCGAUGAAGAACGCAGCGAAAUGCGAUAAGUAGUGUGAAUUGCAGAAUUCAGUGAAUCAUCGAAUCUUUGAACGCACAUUGCGCCCUUUGGUAUUCCAAAGGGCAUGCCUGUUCGAGCGUCAUUUGUACCCUCAAGCUUUGCUUGGUGUUGGGCGUCUUGCUCUAGCUUUGCUGGAGACUCGCCUUAAAGUAAUUGGCAGCCGGCCUACUGGUUUCGGAGCGCAGCACAAGUCGCACUCCUAUCAGCAAAGGUCUAGCAUCCAUUAAGCCUUUUUUCAACUUUGACCUCGAUCAGUAGA